RNAcentral lists this ribosomal RNA (292 nucleotides) under uncultured bacterium. RNAcentral's name for it is "partial 16S ribosomal RNA". It matches the Rfam family "Bacterial small subunit ribosomal RNA", at positions 505 to 796 of the family's 1533-position model. The record is from RNAcentral.
GUGCCAGCAGCCGCGGUAAUACGAAGGGGGCUAGCGUUGUUCGGAAUUACUGGGCGUAAAGAGCGCGUAGGCGGACAGUUUAGUCAGAGGUAAAAGCCCAGGGCUCAACCUUGGAACUGCCUUUGAUACUGGCUGUCUUGAGUUCGGGAGAGGUGAGUGGAAUGCCGAGUGUAGAGGUGAAAUUCGUAGAUAUUCGGAAGAACACCAGUGGCGAAGGCGACUCACUGGCCCGUUACUGACGCUCAGGCGCGACAGCGUGGGGAGCAAACAGGAUUAGAUACCCUUGUAGUCC